Molecule: transfer RNA, 67 nt
Filed under: Marmota monax (woodchuck)
Lineage: Eukaryota; Metazoa; Chordata; Mammalia; Rodentia; Sciuridae
Description: tRNA.Val
Source: RNAcentral
GGUUGUGGCUCAGUGGUAUAGUGAUUGCCUCACAUGUGUGAGGCACUGGGUUCGAUUCUCAGCACCA